This is a small nuclear RNA of Bison bison bison, 107 nucleotides long. The record is from Ensembl. NCBI's taxonomy places the organism in Eukaryota, Metazoa, Chordata, Mammalia, Artiodactyla, Bovidae.
GUGCUCACUUUGGCAGCACAUACACUAAAAUUGGCCCAAUACAGAGAAGAUUAGCAUGGCCGGUGCACAAGGAUGAUACCCUAAUCCAUGUUUUCUUCUCUGUGUGU